GCUUCUUUAGUAUAUAAGUACAAAUGCCUUCCAAGCAUUUAGUCCCCCCCGGGAAGAAACA
This 61-nucleotide transfer RNA is filed under the name Acrochordus granulatus (little file snake). RNAcentral describes it as "tRNA-Gly". Lineage: Eukaryota; Metazoa; Chordata; Lepidosauria; Squamata; Acrochordidae. The record is from RNAcentral.